RNAcentral lists this ribosomal RNA (1232 nucleotides) under uncultured bacterium. RNAcentral describes it as "bacterial SSU rRNA". It matches the Rfam family "Bacterial small subunit ribosomal RNA", at positions 8 to 1235 of the family's 1533-position model. The record is from RNAcentral.
AGAGUUUGAUUAUGGCUCAAAUUGAACGCUGGCGGCAUGCUUUACACAUGCAAGUCGAACGGCAGCACGGGUGCUUGCACCUGGUGGCGAGUGGCGGACGGGUGAGUAAUGCAUCGGAACGUGCCCAGGAGUGGGGGAUAACGCAUCGAAAGAUGUGCUAAUACCGCAUAUACUCUGAGGAGUAAAGCAGGGGACCGCAAGGCCUUGCGCUUUUGGAGUGGCCGAUGCCUGAUUAGCUAGUUGGUGGGGUNUUGGCCUACCAAGGCGACGAUCAGUAGUUGGUCUGAGAGGACGACCAGCCACACUGGGACUGAGACACGGCCCAGACUCCUACGGGAGGCAGCAGUGGGGAAUUUUGGACAAUGGGCGCAAGCCUGAUCCAGCAAUGCCGCGUGAGUGAAGAAGGCCUUCGGGUUGUAAAGCUCUUUCAGUUGAGAAGAAAAGGUUGUGGUAAAUAAUCACAAUUGAUGACGGUAUCGACAGAAGAAGCACCGGCUAACUACGUGCCAGCAGCCGCGGUAAUACGUAGGGUGCAAGCGUUAAUCGGAAAUUACUGGGCGUAAAGGGUGCGCAANCGGCUUUGUAAGUCAGAUGUGAAAUCCCCGGGCUUAACCUGGGAAUUGCGUUUGAAACUACAAGGCUAGAGUGUAGCAGAGGGGGGUGGAAUUCCAUGUGUAGCAGUGAAAUGCGUAGAGAUAUGGAAGAACAUCGAUGGCGAAGGCGGCCCCCUGGGUUAACACUGACGCUCAUGCACGAAAGCGUGGGGAGCAAGCAGGAUUAGAUACCCUGGUAGUCCACGCCCUAAACGAUGUCAACUAGUUGUCGGGCCUUUUUAGGUUUGGUAACGAAGCUAACGCGUGAAGUUGACCGCCUGGGGAGUACGGUCGCAAGAUUAAAACUCAAAGGAAUUGACGGGGACCCGCACAAGCGGUGGAUUAUGUGGAUUAAUUCGAUGCAACGCGAAAAACCUUACCUACCCUUGACAUGUAGCGAAUUUUCCAGAGAUGGAUUAGNNCCUUCGGGAACGCUAACACAGGUGCUGCAUGGCUGUCGUCAGCUCGUGUCGUGAGAUGUUGGGUUAAGUCCCGCAACGAGCGCAACCCUUGUCAUUAAUUGCCAUCAUUUAGUUGGGCACUUUAAUGAGACUGCCGGUGACAAACCGGAGGACGGUGGGGAUGACGUCAAGUCCUCAUGGCCCUUAUGGGUAGGGCUUCACACGUAAUACAAUGGCG